UCCUAGCUGACGAGUCUCAAAUAAGACGAAAUGUACAUCCUGGAU
This is a non-coding RNA of Trichobilharzia regenti, 45 nucleotides long. Lineage: Eukaryota; Metazoa; Platyhelminthes; Trematoda; Strigeidida; Schistosomatidae. The record is from Rfam.